AGCGAACGCUGGCGGCAGGCCUAACACAUGCAAGUCGAACGAACCUUUCGGGGUUAGUGGCGGACGGGUGAGUAACACGUGGGAACGUGCCGUUAGGUUCGGAAUAACUCAGGGAAACUUGUGCUAAUACCGAAUGUGCUCUUCGGGGGAAAGAUUCAUCGCCUUUAGAGAGGCCCGCGUCUGAUUAGCUAGUUGGUUGAGGUAAUGGCUCACCAAGGCGACGAUCAGUACCUGGUCUGGGAGGAUGAUCAGCCACAUUGGGACUGAGACACGGCCCAAACUCCUACGGGAGGCAGCAGUGGGGAAUCUUGCGCAAUGGGCGAAAGCCGGACGCAGCCAUGCCGCGUGAAUGAUGAAGGUCUUAGGAUUGUAAAAUUCUUUCACCGGGGACGAUAAUGACGGUACCCGGAGAAGAAGCCCCGGCUAACUUCGU
Molecule: ribosomal RNA, 433 nt
Filed under: uncultured bacterium
Lineage: Bacteria
Description: partial 16S ribosomal RNA
Rfam family: Bacterial small subunit ribosomal RNA
Source: RNAcentral